CCUACGGGUGGCAGCAGUGAGGAAUAUUGGUCAAUGGUCGUGAGCCUGAACCAGCCAAGUCGCGUGAGGGAGGCAGGUGCCGUGUAUCGUAAACCUCUUUUGUAAGGGAACAAAGACUGGGACGCGUCCUCUGUUGUGUGUACCUUAUGAAAAAGGAUCGGCUAACUCCGUGCCAGCAGCCGCAGUACUACGGAGGAUGCGAGCGUUAUCCGGAUUUAUUGGGUUUACAGGGUGCGUAGGCGGUCUGUUAAGUCAGCGGUCAAAGCGCGUGGCUCAACCUCGUCCCGCCGUUGACACUGGGAGCCUCGAGGUGGCGAGAAGUAGGCGGAAUGCGGGGUGUAGCGGUGAAAGGCAUAGAUAUCACGCAGAACUCCGAUUGAGAAGGCAGCAUGCCGGCUCCACACUGACGCUGAAGCACGAAGGCGUGGGUAUCGAACAGGAUUAGAUACCCCAGUAGUC
This 459-nucleotide ribosomal RNA is filed under the name uncultured bacterium. RNAcentral's name for it is "partial 16S ribosomal RNA". It matches the Rfam family "Bacterial small subunit ribosomal RNA", at positions 338 to 795 of the family's 1533-position model. The record is from RNAcentral.